UACGUAGGUGGCAAGCGUUGUCCGGAAUUAUUGGGCGUAAAGGGCUCGCAGGCGGUUUUCUAAGUCUGAUGUGAAAUCUUGCGGCUUAACCGUAAGCGGUCAUUGGAAACUGGAGAACUUGAGUACAGAAGAGGAGAGUGGAAUUCCACGUGUAGCGGUGAAAUGCGUAGAGAUGUGGAGGAACACCAGUGGCGAAGGCGACUCUCUGGUCUGUAACUGACGCUGAGGAGCGAAAGCGUGGGGAGCAAACAGG
Molecule: ribosomal RNA, 253 nt
Filed under: uncultured bacterium
Lineage: Bacteria
Description: partial 16S ribosomal RNA
Rfam family: Bacterial small subunit ribosomal RNA
Source: RNAcentral